AUCUAAAGUCCAAUCUGCUCACUGAUUAUUUAAAGAGCCGCAGUAUAUUGACUGUGCAAAGGUAGCAUAAUCAAUAGUUUUUUAAUUGAAAACUUGUAUGAAAGAUUAGACGAAAAAUUUAUUUUCUUUAUUUUCAUAAAUUGAAUUUUAAUUUUGAGUGAAAAUGCUCAGUUAAUUUUAAAAGACGAGAAGACCCUAUAGAUUUUUAUUAUUGAAAUAAAUUUAAAAUCUAAUUUAAUCAAAUAAUUUAAUUGGGGCGAUUUUGUAAAAUAAAUAACUUAAUUAUUUAAAACCAUAAAUAAAUGAAUAUUUUGAUCUAAAUAUUUUAAAAGAAAGAUUAAAUUACCUUAGGGAUAACAGCGUAAUUUUAUUUAAGAGUUCAUAUCUAUAAUAAAGUUUGCGACCUCGAUGUUGAAUUAAGAUAAUAUAUUGGAGUAGAAAUUAAUAUAAUUAGUCUGUUCGACUAUUAAAUUCU
This 475-nucleotide ribosomal RNA is filed under the name Loensia variegata. RNAcentral describes it as "partial 16S ribosomal RNA". Lineage: Eukaryota; Metazoa; Arthropoda; Insecta; Psocodea; Psocidae. The record is from RNAcentral.